Galeopterus variegatus (Sunda flying lemur) is the source of this 775-nucleotide long non-coding RNA. RefSeq lists it as uncharacterized. The record is from RefSeq and is a predicted model, not a curated record. The transcript has 3 exons. NCBI's taxonomy places the organism in Eukaryota, Metazoa, Chordata, Mammalia, Dermoptera, Cynocephalidae.
AGCUGUACAAAUCACAGGACUUUUUUUUUUAAUUGGCAUAGACAUAUACAUUAUUCAUCUAUUCUGUUUUAUCUGAAGGGAAUCCAAUAAAGAAGCAAUUUUAUUUCCAAUGAAAUAUUUAAAGCUGCUUUUCCCCACAAGAGACCAGGCAGAAAACUCCAUGAUCUAUACGUCACAGCGGGCAGCUGAGCAGGAAGGACUGACUACCCGAGCAAACUCCAAGAUUUUUUGAGGCUGGGUUAACCCGACCCAUCAGUAGCUCUGAGACUUGGGAGAAAAAACUGUAACAGAUCAGCAAAAUGAAAUUGUGUAAGAAAAGAUGCUGGGAGUUCUGAGGUCUCAUGCAGAAAUCAUCAACUUAUAUACUAGCAAGUCUAAACCAAUGCCUUGGGGACAUUUUUGAUCCCCAAAUAAUAAUAGCAAUAUACCUUUCAGAUGUUUUAUUGUUAAAAUAAACCUUCUGAAGAUGAAUGAGAGAUCAAGAGGCAAGGAAACAGAAUUCAGUACUACCUAAAAUGCAGUCCCCCAUGCUUAUGUAUUUAAAAGUUUAGAAUGACAAAAUGUAAGGUCCACUGUUCUUACAUAUUUCACUUAGAUUUCCUAAGUUACAAUUAUGUAUUACAGUUUUGAAUAAGCUGUACUUUUGCUCUAUUCUUAUCAUUUAGUUCACUUUUCAUUGUAAUAAAAUAACUGAUAAAUGCUUAAAUCUCUGACAUGCUAAGAUGCCAAUCAAACACAAUAGCAAUAUCUGGCAUACACCUGGAAACUUUCCUAA